AACCCACGCAUAGGACACUUCCAUAUAAAAUCCUUGAAUCUUUCUCAUGCUUCAUACAAGCUCACAUCCUCUAUUUGCUUGAAUAAAGUUUGAUCAUUUUGAAGUU
Molecule: small nucleolar RNA, 106 nt
Organism: Hibiscus syriacus
Lineage: Eukaryota; Viridiplantae; Streptophyta; Magnoliopsida; Malvales; Malvaceae
Source: RefSeq, a predicted model, not a curated record